AGUGAACGCUGGCGGCGUGCUUAACACAUGCAAGUCGAACGAGAACGGAUUAUAGCUUGCUAUAAUUGUCAGCUAAGUGGCGCACGGGUGAGUAAUGUAUAGGUAAUAUGCCUCUUACUAAGGGAUAACAAAUGGAAACGUUUGCUAAUACCUUAUACUCCUUAUUAACAGAAGUUAAUAAGGGAAAGAUUUAUUGGUAAGAGAUUAGCCUGUAUUGUAUCAGUUAGUUGGUGUGGUAAUGGCUUACCAGAACUAUGACACAUAACUGGUUUGAGAGGAUGAUCAGUCACACUGGAACUGAGACACGGUCCAGACUCAUACGGGAGGCAGCAGUGGGGAGUAUUGCACAAUGGACGAAAGUCUGAUGCAGCAACGCCGCGUGGAGGAUGACACAUUUCGGUGCGUAAACUCCUUUUAUAUGAGAAGAUAAUGACGGUAUUAUAUGAAUAAGCACCGGCUAACUCCGUGCCAGCAGCCGCCGUAA
This 484-nucleotide ribosomal RNA is filed under the name uncultured bacterium. Its description in RNAcentral is "partial 16S ribosomal RNA". It matches the Rfam family "Bacterial small subunit ribosomal RNA", at positions 29 to 523 of the family's 1533-position model. The record is from RNAcentral.